This 1142-nucleotide long non-coding RNA is filed under the name Populus trichocarpa (black cottonwood). Its description in RNAcentral is "long non-coding RNA (PTRI_LNC004071)". Lineage: Eukaryota; Viridiplantae; Streptophyta; Magnoliopsida; Malpighiales; Salicaceae. The record is from RNAcentral.
UACAUCUAAACAAAGCACUAUAAUAUGACUGUUGUGAUCUUUUACCGGAUCAGAGAUAUCAGAGCGAGCAAAGCCCCAAAAAUAACAGCAUCGAUGGAAUACGAUGAAUGGAGAAUGUUGACAAUUGAAAACCUUAAACCUCCAAAGGUACAGCUGUGUCGAUCCUUAGAUAAUUUAGCUAGACAGGAAUACGAUGAAUGGAGAAUGCUGACAAUUGAAAACCUUAAACCUCCAAAGGUACAGCUGUGUCGAUCCUUAGACGAUUUAGCCGGACGGUCCCGAGAAUAUACUCAGGCAGAUCUGCCUCCUCUUUUGCCUGGGAAAACAGCUAGAUUCAAUAUCAGGUUGAUUAUCACAUGCAUGUACUCAGGAGUCAGGAUCAUGUGAGUUGGAUUAAGUUAACAAUUCAGAAAUCAUACAUGAAGAUUCACUUAGACUAUGUCAGCACAGGAUUACCAUUAGUGACAUUAUAACUAUAACAUACACAACUAUGCUGGACACAACUAUGGUCAUUUAAUGUUGCACAUUGCAUCCCUAGUACUCUUUCAAAUAAAUCAUAAAUCGAACUAAAAUAAACGGCAGCAGAUGAACCAAAAUUACUGGCACAAGGAGAAGGAAUAACAAAAGGAUUAUCAAUAUGGCUGCAUAACAAAGCCCAAAGUGAGUAGUUAAAAUUUGAAAAGAAAGGAAAAAAAACUGGGUUUACACAUGUAUAUCAUAAAUCCCAUGUUUUCAGCCAUUAGAUCCUUGGACUUGUCUCAAACCAUGAGCUCUAUAACUAGCAUCGUUUCAAGUGUCCAAUCAGGUGACUGAUCUGUCAGUUGGCAGGGAGUACCAUCAUAAAGAGAAAUUGGAGCCAGCCUAAGUUUUAGUUGGGCCAAUCCAUAAGGUACUUUAACUUAAAUAAAUGUAUUUUCUUUUUUUUAUCAUGGAGGCCAUCUAGGUUGCUAGUGCAAUAAUCUCUGGGUGUAAAUGUAAAGGUCCACCCACAGUUGGGAACAAAAUGCAAUAAGUCAUAGUUUAUGACCUUAUAACCAUUUCCAACCUCAAGCGCUGUAAGUCUACAGAAGAAGUACAAUAGCUAGGCAAGAUUGCGCUAUGAAUAGAAAAGGAAGGGUGAUUUAACAGCGGUCCAGACCUCU